This 60-nucleotide microRNA precursor is filed under the name Rattus norvegicus (Norway rat). RNAcentral describes it as "Rno-Mir-210_pre stem-loop". Lineage: Eukaryota; Metazoa; Chordata; Mammalia; Rodentia; Muridae. The record is from RNAcentral.
AGCCACUGCCCACAGCACACUGCGUUGCUCCGGACCCACUGUGCGUGUGACAGCGGCUGA